UCAUUACAACCCAUACGAUUUUGAUUAUAACAACUAAUCAAAACCCUUCUCUUCUCCGAUUUCGCCCUUCCUUAAAUUGUUGUUAGAGCAUUUCAUUCAGAUUAAUUUUGAUUCGAAGUGCAAUUUUGGGAGGGGGAUAUCAGACAACUUCACUAGCCUCCAUUGUAUAUAUACCUAAAGGUCUGAAUGAUCUGAUGGAGUCCAAAGGUGGCAAGAAGAAGUCGUCUAGUAGUAAAUCCUUUUUGUACGAAACUCCCCUCGGCUACAUCAUUGAAGACGUUCGCCCACACGGUGGAAUCAAGAAAUUCAGAUCCGCUGCUUACUCCAACUGCAUCCGCAAGCCAUCCUGACUUUGGCUUUGUUGUGUGACAUAAACCCCGUCUUCAUUUUGUCUGCUCUUCGUUUU
This is a long non-coding RNA of Vigna unguiculata (cowpea), 406 nucleotides long. The record is from RefSeq and is a predicted model, not a curated record. NCBI's taxonomy places the organism in Eukaryota, Viridiplantae, Streptophyta, Magnoliopsida, Fabales, Fabaceae.